This 429-nucleotide ribosomal RNA is filed under the name Bacteroidota bacterium. Its description in RNAcentral is "Bacteroidetes bacterium partial 16S ribosomal RNA". It matches the Rfam family "Bacterial small subunit ribosomal RNA", at positions 355 to 776 of the family's 1533-position model. Lineage: Bacteria; Pseudomonadati; Bacteroidota. The record is from RNAcentral.
UAGGGAAUCUUCGGCAAUGGGGGGAACCCUGACCGAGCAACGCCGCGUGAGUGAAGAAGGUUUUCGGAUCGUAAAGCUCUGUUGUUAAGGAAGAACGAGUGUGAGAAUGGAAAGUUCAUGCUGUGACGGUACUUAACCAGAAAGGGACGGCUAACUACGUGCCAGCAGCCGCGGUAAUACGUAGGUCCCGAGCGUUGUCCGGAUUUAUUGGGCGUAAAGCGAGCGCAGGCGGUUAGAAAAGUCUGAAGUGAAAGGCAGUGGCUCAACCAUUGUAGGCUUUGGAAACUGUUUAACUUGAGUGCAGAAGGGGAGAGUGGAAUUCCAUGUGUAGCGGUGAAAUGCGUCGAUAUAUGGAGGAACACCGGUGGCGAAAGCGGCUCUCUGGUCUGUAACUGACGCUGAGGCUCGAAAGCGUGGGGAGCGAACAGG